AAUAAAUGCAGUUUUGCACGGUUCAUGUCUAACGUUUAAUCUUUUGUCUUAUUUAAAAUUUUUUUAUGAUUAGUAUUUUUGUUGUUAUUAGAUGAUAAAACAUGAAUAAUAUUUUACAUUUGACUAAUUUAUUUUAACUUUUUCAUAAACUUUUCAAAGACGGACGUUUAAAAGUUCGACACGGAUUUUCACGGUUGCACUUAUU
Oryza barthii is the source of this 205-nucleotide non-coding RNA. Lineage: Eukaryota; Viridiplantae; Streptophyta; Magnoliopsida; Poales; Poaceae. The record is from Rfam.